This 1128-nucleotide ribosomal RNA is filed under the name Campylobacter jejuni. Its description in RNAcentral is "partial 23S ribosomal RNA". It matches the Rfam family "Bacterial large subunit ribosomal RNA", at positions 1216 to 2322 of the family's 2925-position model. Lineage: Bacteria; Pseudomonadati; Campylobacterota; Epsilonproteobacteria; Campylobacterales; Campylobacteraceae. The record is from RNAcentral.
GUUUACUAAGUGGUAGGAGAGCGUUCUAUUUGCGUCGAAGGUAUACCGGUAAGGAGUGCUGGAGCGAAUAGAAGUGAGCAUGCAGGCAUGAGUAGCGAUAAUUAAUGUGAGAAUCAUUAACGCCGUAAACCCAAGGUUUCCUACGCGAUGCUCGUCAUCGUAGGGUUAGUCGGGUCCUAAGUCGAGUCCGAAAGGGGUAGACGAUGGCAAAUUGGUUAAUAUUCCAAUACCAACAUUAGUGUGCGAUGGAAGGACGCUUAGGGCUAAGGGGGCUAGCGGAUGGAAGUGCUAGUCUAAGGUCGUAGGAGGUUAUACAGGCAAAUCCGUAUAACAAUACUCCGAGAACUGAAAGGCUUUUUGAAGUCUUCGGAUGGAUAGAAGAACCCCUGAUGCCGUCGAGCCAAGAAAAGUUUCUAAGUUUAGCUAAUGUUGCCCGUACCGUAAACCGACACAGGUGGGUGGGAUGAGUAUUCUAAGGCGCGUGGAAGAACUCUCUUUAAGGAACUCUGCAAAAUAGCACCGUAUCUUCGGUAUAAGGUGUGGUUAGCUUCGUACUAGGAUUUACUCCGAAAGCGAAGAAACUUACAACAAAGAGUCCCUCCCGACUGUUUACCAAAAACACAGCACUCUGCUAACUCGUAAGAGGAUGUAUAGGGUGUGACGCCUGCCCGGUGCUCGAAGGUUAAUUGAUGGGGUUAGCAUUAGCGAAGCUCUUGAUCGAAGCCCGAGUAAACGGCGGCCGUAACUAUAACGGUCCUAAGGUAGCGAAAUUCCUUGUCGGUUAAAUACCGACCUGCAUGAAUGGCGUAACGAGAUGGGAGCUGUCUCAAAGAGGGAUCCAGUGAAAUUGUAGUGGAGGUGAAAAUUCCUCCUACCCGCGGCAAGACGGAAAGACCCCGUGGACCUUUACUACAGCUUGACACUGCUACUUGGAUAAGAAUGUGCAGGAUAGGUGGGAGGCUUUGAGUAUAUGACGCCAGUUGUAUAUGAGCCAUUGUUGAGAUACCACUCUUUCUUAUUUGGGUAGCUAACCAGCUUGAGUUAUCCUCAAGUGGGACAAUGUCUGGUGGGUAGUUUGACUGGGGCGGUCGCCUCCCAAAUAAUAACGGAGGCUUACAAAGGUUGGCU